UCAUUUUCUCUCAAAAAGAAAAGAAAAAACCCCUCUCCGAUCAUAGCGCCGGUCAUCGGCCGUCGGGUGCCGUUGUACACGGUGGCUGGAGAGGGGAGAAACUUCAGAUCUGGUCCUUUCAACCCUCCUAAGCUCGAAUCCGUGUUCAAAAUUCCCAAAAUGUUAACAAAAAUGCCCCAAAGUUCAAGAAACCUUUCGGUUUUCAGUCACUGAUCAUCGGGGGUAACUCCCUCGGCGUUUAAAACGGGUACAUGUUUGUCCUUUCUUCUUUCUUUUUCGUUUCUACUUUCAUAUGUAAAUAAUAAACGCGAAAAAAAAGAAAAAAAGUAUAUUAAAGAUGGAGUAUAAAAGGGUAAAUGUAAACCUUUCGGAUUUUGAUUUCUGCUUUCUUGUUCUAAAAAAUGUUCAAAAAAAAAUUCCCCUUGAAUUACAUUUGAUUCGGCCUUUAUAGCCGAUUAUGUUGCUCUUUUUUUUUUCUAAUGUAUUCUACUGUUCUUUUGCCUUUGUUCUCUUCUAUCAUUUUGUCUUUGUUUACAGGUUUUGGGGCAAGGUCAACGGGUGUUGGAGGGAUAACCCGGGCCAUUUUGGUGCAAAGCCGAUGGUGUCUGUCAUGCUUCGGGCAUCGAGUGCGCUGCAAAGGCACGAGGGGACGUACGGCGCACUGGGGCUGUUUGGUUGUGGGCUGAAUUGGGCUAGGGUUUUGCCAUCUCAGGCCGUACUAGGCCUAGCAUGUAAUUGGGCUUGUUAUGGGUGUUUCGGGCCAAGUUAUUUGGACUCUAUUUAUUUGUUUUGGGCUUUUAGACCCAGGUCAAAAUUGACCUUUUACAAAUAUAGAUUUUUAAUUGGCCAAAGGUUUAAAGGAUUUAUUUAGUAAUUAAACCAAGG
Molecule: long non-coding RNA, 885 nt
Filed under: Gossypium barbadense (sea-island cotton)
Lineage: Eukaryota; Viridiplantae; Streptophyta; Magnoliopsida; Malvales; Malvaceae
Description: long non-coding RNA (GBAR_LNC022599)
Source: RNAcentral